Molecule: ribosomal RNA, 313 nt
Filed under: uncultured bacterium
Lineage: Bacteria
Description: bacterial SSU rRNA
Rfam family: Bacterial small subunit ribosomal RNA
Source: RNAcentral
AGGGAAUAGAUACCCGGGUAGUCCACGCUGUAAAACGAUGGGCACUAGGUGUGGGGGGGUAUUGACCCCCUCCGUGCCGAAAGCUAAACGCAAAUAAAGUGCCCCGCCUGGGGAGUACGGGCCGCAAGGCUAAAAACUCAAAAGGAAAUUGACGGGGCCCGCACAAGCAGCGGAGCGUGUGGUUUAAAUUCGACGCAACGCGAAGAACCUUACAAGGCUUGACAUGCUAGUGGUACCGAUCCGAAAGGUGAGGGACCCUUCGGGGAGCUAGUGCAGGUGAUGCAUGGCUGUCGUCAGCUCGUGCCGUGAGGUG